Molecule: ribosomal RNA, 254 nt
Filed under: uncultured bacterium
Lineage: Bacteria
Description: partial 16S ribosomal RNA
Rfam family: Bacterial small subunit ribosomal RNA
Source: RNAcentral
UACGUAGGGUGCGAGCGUUGUCCGGAAUUAUUGGGCGUAAGGAGCUCGUAGGCGGUUUGUCGCGUCGGCCGUGAAAACUUGGGGCUUAACUCCAAGCUUGCGGUCGAUACGGGCAGACUUGAGUUCGGCAGGGGAGACUGGAAUUCCUGGUGUAGCGGUGAAAUGCGCAGAUAUCUGGAGGAAUACCGGUGGCGAAGGCGGCAUCCUGGACCAUUUACUGACGCUGAGGCGCGAAAGCUAGGGGAGCAAACGGG